RNAcentral lists this ribosomal RNA (253 nucleotides) under uncultured prokaryote. Its description in RNAcentral is "partial 16S ribosomal RNA". It matches the Rfam family "Bacterial small subunit ribosomal RNA", at positions 525 to 777 of the family's 1533-position model. The record is from RNAcentral.
ACGUAGGUGGCAAGCGUUGUCCGGAAUUAUUGGGCGUAAAGCGCGCGCAGGCGGUCCUUUAAGUCUGAUGUGAAAGCCCACGGCUCAACCGUGGAGGGUCAUUGGAAACUGGGGGACUUGAGUGCAGAAGAGGAAAGUGGAAUUCCACGUGUAGCGGCGGAAUGCGUAGAGAUCCGGAAGAACACCGGUGGCGAAGGCGGUUAGCUGGGCAGUAACUGACGCUGAGGCGCGACAGCGUGGGGAGCAAACAGGA